RNAcentral lists this ribosomal RNA (253 nucleotides) under uncultured bacterium. Its description in RNAcentral is "partial 16S ribosomal RNA". It matches the Rfam family "Bacterial small subunit ribosomal RNA", at positions 524 to 776 of the family's 1533-position model. The record is from RNAcentral.
GACGAACCGUGCGAACGUUGUUCGGAUUCACUGGGCUUAAAGGGCGCGUAGGCGGAAGGUCAAGUCCGAGGUGAAAUCUUUCGGCUCAACCGGAAAAGUGCCUUGGAUACGGAUCUUCUCGAGGGAGGUAGGGGCAUGUGGAACUUCCGGUGGAGCGGUGAAAUGCGUAGAGAUCGGAAAGAACACCAACGGCGAAAGCACUCUGCUGGGCCGACACUGACACUGAGAGACGAAAGCUAGGGGAGCGAAUGGG